Molecule: long non-coding RNA, 454 nt
Organism: Oryzias latipes (Japanese medaka)
Lineage: Eukaryota; Metazoa; Chordata; Actinopteri; Beloniformes; Adrianichthyidae
Source: RefSeq, a predicted model, not a curated record
UAAAGACAUUCCCCAGGAAGUGAUGUAGUACUACUCACACGAUGGAAAGAACUCCCUCAGAAACCUGCAAACUGCUACUUUAUGAACAGCGAGGCCUCUUUUGAUAUUGCUGUGCGCAACAUCACAGACUCCAAAGAGAGAAGCUGUGAGGAGAAACUGCAUGCUCUCAUAAACAACCAGGGUCACUGGAGCCAACCUUGCUACAGUUGGACAACCGCAGGCUACACCCGGGCCAGUCCAUUGCAGGGCAACGCACACACACCACCGUUGAGGGACAAUGUAGAGUCAUCAAUUAACCUAUGAAGCAUGCUCUGAGCAGAGUGCCAAGAGAAAACCUAUGCAAACAUGUAAGCUCCUCACAGAAAGAUUCCAGCUGGGAUUUGAUGCAAAAAUGCAGACCACUUCACAAUUGUGUAGCCCUGCAACAAGUCCACUUGUGGAAUUUAUCAACUAU